CAUCGUCAGCUCAUUUUGUAUAUGUAGAAGUUAUGAUGCGAGUUACUCNUUGUAGUAUUGCUUGUACAUACUUUUACAUUUAUUUGCAAGAUGUUGUCGGCGUGCACUUCUCCCCUAGUAGAACGUCGCGACCCGUUGGGUGUUGGUCUACGACCCGAGUNGGGAGACUUNUAAUAUUUUUAUAAUAUUAAAGACCCUUGGUGUUUUCUGACCGGCUGCCCGGCGGUACUCGUACGGUAUUUAGCCGCAAUUUAUNUUGCGUCCAUGUCCGUUGCAAGCGAGGCUAAUUUC
Molecule: ribosomal RNA, 291 nt
Filed under: Heterospilus sp. MAS-2010
Lineage: Eukaryota; Metazoa; Arthropoda; Insecta; Hymenoptera; Braconidae
Description: partial 28S ribosomal RNA
Source: RNAcentral